Long non-coding RNA from Rhea pennata, 563 nucleotides. RefSeq lists it as uncharacterized. Lineage: Eukaryota; Metazoa; Chordata; Aves; Rheiformes; Rheidae. The record is from RefSeq and is a predicted model, not a curated record. The transcript is spliced from 2 exons.
AACAGUGCGCUGUCUUUGUUCACGAUACAGGUGAACGACAAUCAUGUGAUUAACACACACUCACACGCACACACACACACAUACACACACACAUAAAAAGCUUUUUAAGAGCGUCCAGCUUGCCUCAGACCCGAAGACGAGAGAGGAGACCCAGGCUUGGAGGAGCAGAGGCAGCAGCGGCUGGGCAGCAGGGCCAGGCUGGGGACAGCAGGAAGACCCCAUCCCACCUCGCUGGCCUCUUCCCUCUGGCACGGACGAGCAGACACGCCAUCUUGCUGUGAAACCCCUUCCCAUGGAGUCAGGGGCCCACUAUCAGAAGUCUCAGUGAACUCACUGCAAGCAAGACAGCCCACGGAGAAAGUGAUAUGGAUCACUCAGAAAGAGCAAAGAGCUGCCUGCAACCAUUUCUAGAUUUCGGCUCUGGCAGCAUCACAACAGGAAGCAUGUUUGUGUGGUUACAUGACCGUUAGCUGUGCUUUUCCCUCAGUGUAUUUGCAGUAACAUUUGUCAUGAGGUAUUUGGGAAAAAUAAAAGGCACAUAAUGCCUAGAGUUGUUUACCACA